GAAGUGCGAAACGUGUCAUGACUUGCAGAUUCCCGAGAGCUGACGAAUCUCUGAAUGCAAAUGGCGGCCGCUCGACUCGGCCAUGGAUUGCAGAGUGUAGUGGUUCCGACUCCUCAUCCAAUCGUAUGCACGCCAUGCGAUUGCAUCUGCGCUUGCACAACAUCGCGAGCGUGAAACGUCGAGUUAGGGGGCGUCCCUCGUGGAUGACUCUUAACUACGGAUAUCUUCUUUUUGAUACCACCCAUACAUUACACCCCACCUCUGCAAUGCAGGAUUACCCGCUGAACUUAA
Molecule: unclassified non-coding RNA, 291 nt
Filed under: uncultured fungus
Lineage: Eukaryota; Fungi
Description: sequence contains ITS1
Rfam family: 5.8S ribosomal RNA (bases 1-100)
Source: RNAcentral